GCAUCCUUGGCAGUAGGCAAGCUCAAGAUCGCGUACAGGGAACGCGCGGGCUUCCUCCGCGGACCCCAGCAGAAUGCA
Molecule: small RNA, 78 nt
Filed under: Sinorhizobium meliloti 2011
Lineage: Bacteria; Pseudomonadati; Pseudomonadota; Alphaproteobacteria; Hyphomicrobiales; Rhizobiaceae
Description: putative ncRNA
Source: RNAcentral